Molecule: ribosomal RNA, 1496 nt
Filed under: Salmonella enterica subsp. enterica
Lineage: Bacteria; Pseudomonadati; Pseudomonadota; Gammaproteobacteria; Enterobacterales; Enterobacteriaceae
Description: bacterial SSU rRNA
Rfam family: Bacterial small subunit ribosomal RNA
Source: RNAcentral
AAAUUGAAGAGUUUGAUCAUGGCUCAGAUUGAACGCUGGCGGCAGCUCCAACACAUGCAAGUCGACCCAGAGUAACAGGAAGGCAGCUUGUUGCUUCGCUGACGAGUGGCGUGGACGGGUGAGCAAUGUGUCUGGGAAACUGCCUGAUGGAGGGGUGAUAACUACUGGAAACGGUGGCUAAUACCGCAUAACGUCGUAAGACCAAAGAGUGGGGACCUUCGGCCUCUUUGCCAUCAGAUGCCCAGGAUUACUGUUGGUGAGGUAACGGCUCACCAAGGCGACGAUCCCUAGCUGGUUCGCUGAGAGGAUGACCAGCCAUUCGAACUGGAGACACGGUCCAGACUCCUACGGGAGGCAAAGCAGUGGGGAAUAUUGCACAAUGGGCGCAAGCCUGAUGCAGCCAUGCUCGCGUGUAUGCGAAGAAGGCCUUCGUUGUAAAGUACCUCUUUCAGCGGGGAGGAAGGUGGGUUGUGGUUAAUAACCACAGCACCCGACGUUACCUCGCAGAAGAAGCACCGGCUAACUCGCGCCAGCAGCCGCGGUAAUACGAGGUGCAAGCGCAAUCGGAAUUACUGGGCGUAAAGCGCACGCAGGCGGCCCGUCAAGUCGGAUGAAACCUCGGCUCAACCCGGGAACUGCAUUCGAAACCGGCAGGCUUGAGUCUUGUAGAGGGGUAGAAUUCCGUGUAGCGGUGAAAUGCGUAGAUCUGGAGGAAUACCGCGGCGAAGGCGGCCCCCGACAAAGACUGCUCAGGGUGCGAAAGCGGAAUGCCGCAGAUACCGGUAGUCCACGCCGUAAACGAUGUCUACUUCUGGUUGUGCCCUUGAGGCGUGGCUUCCGAGCUAACGCGUUAAGUAGACCGCCCGGGAGUACGGGUACGCAAGGUUAAAACUCAAAUGACCCCGACGGGCAACGCACGCGGUGGAGCAUGUGGUUUACCCGAUGCGCAACGCGAAGAACCUACCCGGCCUUGACAUCCACGGAAGUUUUCAGAGAUGAGAAUGCCUUCGUGAAACGGCAGGUGCCGCAUGGCUGUCGUCACCGUGCUGUGAAAAUGUUGGGUUAAGUCCCGCAAAUGAGCGCAACCCCGGUCUCUUGCUGCCAGCUACCGGGAACUCAAAGGAGACCGCCAGUGAUAAACCGGUGAAGGUGGGGGAUGACGUCAAGUCAUCAUGGCCCUACGACCAGGCCACACGUGCUACAAUGGCGCAUGUACAAAGAGAAGCGACUCGCGAGAGCAAGCGACCCUCAUAAAGCGCGUCGUAGUCCGGAUUGGAGUUCGCAAUCCGACCCAUGAAGUCGGAAUCGCUAGUAAUCGUGGAUCAGAAUGCCACGGUGAAUACGUUCCGGCCUUGUACACACCGCCCGUCACAAUCACGGGAGUGGUUGCGUUAGCGGUAGCUUAACCUUCGGGAGGGCGCUUACCACCUUGUGAUUCAUGACUGUGAAGUCGUAUCAAGGUAACCGUAGGGGAACCUGCGGCUACCACCUCCUGC